GAAGCAACACAAGCGCCAGAACUGCGAAGGAAUUGUGCGGACGCGGACGGUGUGACGACGAUGGUGUCGGACGCAGCAGCCGGGUUUCAUGGGUACGGAGCAGUUGACGAGGUGGAGGGGUUCGAAGUUUUCGGCGGGGGCCUCCCGGCUUACGCAUCCGAGCCGAAAGUUGGAAACAAAACGUUACGGGCAACCGGGCGGACAAAGUUCCAAUGAGGAUGCUGA
This 225-nucleotide non-coding RNA is filed under the name Paenibacillus swuensis. RNAcentral's name for it is "GlcN6P sequence". It matches the Rfam family "glmS glucosamine-6-phosphate activated ribozyme aptamer". From Rfam's summary of the family: This entry contains a glucosamine-6-phosphate activated ribozyme that is found in the mRNA for GlmS. GlmS is an enzyme that uses fructose-6-phosphate and glutamine to generate glucosamine-6-phosphate. Lineage: Bacteria; Bacillati; Bacillota; Bacilli; Caryophanales; Paenibacillaceae. The record is from Rfam by way of RNAcentral.